AUCAAGCUAACCCAUAAGCCCAUCAACCUAUAUUUUAUGCAAAUGAUAUUAGAUUUUUAAUUCACAAUUCUAGAUCUAAUUAGUUCAACUUAAUUCUCAAUUAAGUGUAGGUUCAACAUGGGUUUAGAUUUAUGUUUAAAAUAUUUUUAAUUUUUAAUUUUAUAAAUAAAUUAUAAUAAAUUAUAUAAAUAUUUUUUAUUUUGAAAC
Molecule: long non-coding RNA, 207 nt
Filed under: Elaeis guineensis (African oil palm)
Lineage: Eukaryota; Viridiplantae; Streptophyta; Magnoliopsida; Arecales; Arecaceae
Description: long non-coding RNA (EGUI_LNC064337)
Source: RNAcentral